GGGGAUAUGGCUGAAUUGGUAGAGCACCUGUCUACCAAGUACGCGGCUCUGAAUUUAAACUCCAGUAUUACUA
This 73-nucleotide transfer RNA is filed under the name Dipodomys ordii (Ord's kangaroo rat). It matches the Rfam family "tRNA". From Rfam's summary of the family: Transfer RNA (tRNA) molecules are approximately 80 nucleotides in length. Their secondary structure includes four short double-helical elements and three loops (D, anti-codon, and T loops). Lineage: Eukaryota; Metazoa; Chordata; Mammalia; Rodentia; Heteromyidae. The record is from Rfam by way of RNAcentral.